GCGGGUGUGGCGGAACGGUAGACGCGGAGGUCUCAAACACCUCUUCCGCAAGGAGUGUCGGUUCGAAUCCGACCACCCGCACCA
Molecule: transfer RNA, 84 nt
Filed under: Paracoccaceae bacterium
Lineage: Bacteria; Pseudomonadati; Pseudomonadota; Alphaproteobacteria; Rhodobacterales; Paracoccaceae
Description: Rhodobacteraceae bacterium (oil production facility metagenome) tRNA-Leu
Rfam family: tRNA
About the family: Transfer RNA (tRNA) molecules are approximately 80 nucleotides in length. Their secondary structure includes four short double-helical elements and three loops (D, anti-codon, and T loops). Further hydrogen bonds mediate the characteristic L-shaped molecular structure. tRNAs have two regions of fundamental functional importance: the anti-codon, which is responsible for specific mRNA codon recognition, and the 3' end, to which the tRNAs corresponding amino acid is attached (by aminoacyl-tRNA synthetases). tRNAs cope with the degeneracy of the genetic code in two manners: having more than one tRNA (with a specific anti-codon) for a particular amino acid; and 'wobble' base-pairing, i.e. permitting non-standard base-pairing at the 3rd anti-codon position.
Source: RNAcentral